Molecule: ribosomal RNA, 111 nt
Filed under: Caerostris darwini
Lineage: Eukaryota; Metazoa; Arthropoda; Arachnida; Araneae; Araneidae
Source: RNAcentral
AUGGCCGUACCAUGCUGAAUAUACCGGUUCUCGUUUGAUCACCGAAGUUAAGCAUCAUUGGGCGCGGUCAGUACUUGGGUGGGUGACCACCUGGGAACACCGCGUGCCGUU